UGCCAGACUCCUACGGGAGGCAGCAGUGGGGAAUAUUGCACAAUGGGGGAAACCCUGAUGCAGCGACGCCGCGUGAGCGAUGAAGUAUUUCGGUAUGUAAAGCUCUAUCAGCAGGGAAGAAGAUGACGGUACCUGACUAAGAAGCCCCGGCUAACUACGUGCCAGCAGCCGCGGUAAUGCGUAGGGGGCAAGCGUUAUCCGGAUUUACUGGGUGUAAAGGGAGCGUAGACGGCGAUGCAAGCCAGAUGUGAAAGCCCGGGGCUCAACCCCGGGACUGCAUUUGGAACUGUGUGGCUGGAGUGUCGGAGAGGCAGGCGGAAUUCCUAGUGUAGCGGUGAAAUGCGUAGAUAUUAGGAGGAACACCAGUGGCGAAGGCGGCCUGCUGGACGAUGACUGACGUUGAGGCUCGAAAGCGUGGGGAGCAAACAGGAUUAGAUACCCUGGUAUGA
This 449-nucleotide ribosomal RNA is filed under the name uncultured bacterium. RNAcentral describes it as "bacterial SSU rRNA". It matches the Rfam family "Bacterial small subunit ribosomal RNA", at positions 329 to 794 of the family's 1533-position model. The record is from RNAcentral.